RNAcentral lists this ribosomal RNA (625 nucleotides) under uncultured bacterium. RNAcentral describes it as "bacterial SSU rRNA". The stretch from base 1 to 543 matches the Rfam family "Bacterial small subunit ribosomal RNA", at positions 338 to 873 of the family's 1533-position model. The record is from RNAcentral.
CCUACGGGAGGCAGCAGUAGGGAAUCUUCCACAAUGGGCGAAAGCCUGAUGGAGCAACGCCGCGUGAGUGAUGAAGGCCUUCGGGUUGUAAAACUCUGUCAUUCGGGACGAACCGGAGUCUGAGGAAAUGCAGACUCUCUGACGGUACCGGAGGAGGAAGCCCCGGCUAACUACGUGCCAGCAGCCGCGGUAAUACGUAGGGGGCAAGCGUUGUCCGGAUUCACUGGGCGUAAAGCGCGCGCAGGCGGUGAUGUAAGUCUGAGGUGAAAACCCGAAGCUCAACUUCGGGACUGCCUUGGAUACUGCGUCACUUGAGGAUAGGAGAGGCAAGGGGAAUUCCACGUGUAGCGGUGAAAUGCGUAGAGAUGUGGAGGAACACCUGUGGCGAAGGCGCCUUGCUGGCCUAUUUCUGACGCUGAGGCGCGAAAGCGUGGGGAGCAAACAGGAUUAGAUACCCUGGUAGUCCACGCUGUAAACGAUGAGUGCUAGGUGUAGGUGGGCUCAUACCCAUCUGUGCCGAAGCUAACGCAUUAAGCNCNCGCGNGGAGUACGUCGCGAGACGUAGAACGUACGAAGAGUAGUAGGACGNGAGAGAGCGACGGACGACGACGACGGAGGGAGGAGG